This 250-nucleotide unclassified non-coding RNA is filed under the name plant metagenome. RNAcentral's name for it is "partial contains small subunit ribosomal RNA, internal transcribed spacer 1, and 5.8S ribosomal RNA". The record is from RNAcentral.
GUAGGUGAACCUGCGGAAGGAUCAUUAACACGUUCCAAAACGUAUCAACCAAACGGUUAAGUGUAAACUUACUCCCUAUCUGGGAAAGCUGCGCAACACUCUUUAGUGAUGGGUAACAUCUGAAUAAGACGUUACAGAGAGUGUUGACUAGGGUCUCGAGCCCAGUGCUUUCCUUUAUAGGCUUUUUCCCCCCUUUUCCCCAUCACUUCCAACUAACCAUUUUCACCCCUUUAAACCAUUUGACUAAAUC